This 90-nucleotide small nucleolar RNA is filed under the name Ursus americanus (American black bear). RNAcentral describes it as "Small nucleolar RNA SNORD66". The stretch from base 1 to 69 matches the Rfam family "Small nucleolar RNA SNORD66". From Rfam's summary of the family: snoRNA HBII-142 is part of the C/D family of snoRNAs. It is the human orthologue of the mouse MBII-142 snoRNA and is predicted to guide 2'O-ribose methylation of small 18S rRNA at residue C1272. The record is from Rfam by way of RNAcentral. Lineage: Eukaryota; Metazoa; Chordata; Mammalia; Carnivora; Ursidae. RNAcentral also lists the same sequence under 1 other name.
CUUUAUUGAUGACCUCUCAUUUGUGUCACUGUGUCUGGGUCAUAGAAGCCUUUUGAUGGAGCCUAAGAGAUAAAAUUCUAAGAUUUAAAG